RNAcentral lists this ribosomal RNA (770 nucleotides) under Trichogrammatidae sp. D1208. RNAcentral's name for it is "SSU rRNA". It matches the Rfam family "Eukaryotic small subunit ribosomal RNA", at positions 477 to 1206 of the family's 1831-position model. The record is from RNAcentral. Lineage: Eukaryota; Metazoa; Arthropoda; Insecta; Hymenoptera; Trichogrammatidae.
UAACGAUACGGGACUCAUCCGAGGCCCCGUAAUCGGAAUGAGUACACUUUAAAUCCUUUAACGAGGACCCAUUGGAGGGCAAGUCUGGUGCCAGCAGCCGCGGUAAUUCCAGCUCCAAUAGCGUAUAUUAAAGUUGUUGCGGUUAAAAAGCUCGUAGUUGAAUCUGUGUGCCACGCUGUCGGUUCAUCGCUCGCGAUGUUUAACUGACAUGAUUGUGGGACGUCCUACCGGUGGGCUUAGCUCUUCACGGGGCGGUCCAGCUAAUAUCCCAUCGCGGUGCUCUUCACCGAGUGUCGAGGUGGGCCGGUACGUUUACUUUGAACAAAUUAGAGUGCUCAAAGCAGGCUAUGUUCGCCUGAAUAUUUUUUGCAUGGAAUAAUGGAAUAGGACCUCGGUUCUAUUUUGUUGGUUUUCGGAACCCCGAGGUAAUGAUUAAUAGGGACAGAUGGGGGCAUUCGUAUUGCGACGUUAGAGGUGAAAUUCUUGGAUCGUCGCAAGACGGACAGAAGCGAAAGCAUUUGCCAAAAAUGUUUUCAUUAAUCAAGAACGAAAGUUAGAGGUUCGAAGGCGAUCAGAUACCGCCCUAGUUCUAACCAUAAACGAUGCCAGCUAGCGAUCCGCCGAAGUUCCUUAGAUGACUCGGCGGGCAGCUUCCGGGAAACCAAAGCUUUUGGGUUCCGGGGGAAGUAUGGUUGCAAAGCUGAAACUUAAAGGAAUUGACGGAAGGGCACCACCAGGAGUGGAGCCUGCGGCUUAAUUUGACUCAACAC